RNAcentral lists this non-coding RNA (117 nucleotides) under Nomascus leucogenys (northern white-cheeked gibbon). The record is from Rfam by way of RNAcentral. Lineage: Eukaryota; Metazoa; Chordata; Mammalia; Primates; Hylobatidae.
GCUGGGUGUGGUGGCUCACGCCUGUAAUCCCAGAACUUUGGGAGGCCGAGGCGGGUGGGUCACCUGAGGUCAGGAGUUCAAGACCAGCCUGACCAACAUGGUGAAACCCUGUCUCUA